Molecule: long non-coding RNA, 2731 nt
Organism: Cornus florida
Lineage: Eukaryota; Viridiplantae; Streptophyta; Magnoliopsida; Cornales; Cornaceae
Exons: 2
Source: RefSeq, a predicted model, not a curated record
GGGUGCACAGCUGAGAUUAGAGAGAAAGAAAUAUUGAUUUUGUGAAGUAUUUUGCGGGUCCCACCUAAUAAUGAAUGUGGGUUAAGAGAAAAGAUAUUUCACUUGGUUUUGUUUUGUAUAUAAAUAUAUAUAUAUAUAUAUAUAUAUAUAUAUAUAUUGCAUAAGACAUGUGAGCAGGUGGUGCCAAAUUAGUGGAAAGCAAAAAGAAAUGGAAAUGUAAUGGUUUUGGGUCCCACAAGGAAUUAUGUUGCCAUACUUUCAUGUGGAUGUGGCUUUGCCUUGUGGUAUAGAUACAUAGAUAUUAUUUGUUUGAAGAAGAUAGGGAUAAGGAAAAGUUGUAAUGAUGUUGUCUAAUAGAGGAGUAUGGUGAACUGUGCUUGAUAUUUGUAUUUUGUUUCAGUGCAAAUUUGUCUAUAUAUUGAGGUGUGGUUAUUCACUAAGUAAGGAUAUAGAGAGUUUGAGAACAGAGAAGGAAAUUGAGGAAAAACACAGUGAGCCGAGACAUUGAAGGCCAGACUUGCAAUUUUGAUGCUCAAGUGUUGAUUAUUUCUAUUUACUGCAUAGGGUUCUUUAUACCUUGAAUUGCUUGGAUGAUUUUAUCUCAAAUUAUUUUGUGACUGCUUUUUUGUUAAAUUGCAUAUACAUAUUUUUGUUCAAAACUAUAUUUAUAUUUUGUGAACUAAUUUUCCUGAAACCUCUUUGAGAUUCUUGUUAUGGUUUUUCCUACUAGUACUUCCCCCGUCUCACCCCUUUCCAGUUUCAGGUACCGUGGAUUGCUAGUUGCGGGCUUAGGUGGAAGAGUUGGUGUUGAAGAUUUAAUUUAUUUAUUUAGAGAUUUUGUUGUAUUUAUUUGAGGAAUUGAUUUUGUAUCAAUAAAAUGAUAUUUCUUUUAAGAUCCUGAGUGUAAUACUAAAGUAUUUUGAUUUGAAUAUAUUGAGGAAUUUAUUUAGAAAAUUCAGGGCAGUACAAAUUGGUAUCAGAGACUGUACCCAGUCGGAAGUAUGAGUUUAGUGAUGAUGUUGUCGGGUGUGUGUCGGCGAGUGUUUAGUACUGACUAGCUAUCACUCGUAGCCAGUUGUUUGUUGGCAGAUGUCGUUCACUACCAGCAACUUGGAGGAUUAAUUUUUGUGAUUGGAGUUUGUGGACGGAUAAUUAGCACUGUUAGCUACCACAACAUUUUUCAUGUCACUGAAUCUCGCAUCACCUGGGGUAAGGAUUUCUUUCAUGUUUUGCCACUUCUUUGAUGUUUUCUGGUAUGCGAAAAUUGUUGGAUCUGAAUUUCGGGACGAAAUUCUUUUUAAAUGGUGGAGAAUGUGACAAGCCAGAUUUUUAAGAAUUUAAAUUUAAUUUAUUAUAUGAUUUUUAGUUGACAAAAUUGAUUAUUUAGAGACUUACCCAAUUGAUAUUUUAAUUGAUUUUGAUUUUAGUUUUGUAUGCUGAAGCUUCUGGAUGAAAUUGGUGAAAGGAGAUUUAAUGGCUAUUGUUUUUGGAAUUGCUGCAUAUAUAUAUAUAUAUAAUUCAAAAUGGUGGCAUGAAGCUUGCUGCCAACCAUCCGAAAAUCAAUCGGAAAUGAAUAGAUAAAUGUAAUGAUGGAAAAGUGAUGGUAAAGGUAAAGUGGCGGGUCCACUUAAAUAAUGUUAAGGUGUUAAUUUGGUUUUUUAUUGUGAUUGUAUAUAUAUGAUAUAUUUUUGGCUUCUGAUAAAAGGAUGGGAGUAGCCAACAAUAAAAAGAAAUGAGUGAGAAAUGGUACGGAUCCUACUAAUGUGGUUUUUGCCAUAAUCUUUUUUUAUUUGAUUUUUUUGCACUUGAGUAUAUACAUGUUAUACAUACAUUGCAUCUGUUGGAUGGAAAAAGGGUGCACAGCUGAGAUUAGAGAGAAAGAAAGAUUGAUUUUGUGAAGUAUUUUGCAGGUCCCACCUAAUGAUGAAAGUGGGUUAAGAAAAAAGAUAUUUCACUUGGUUUUGUUUUGUAUAUAAAUAUAUAUAUAUAUAUAUAUAUUGCAUAAGAAAUGUGAGCAGGUGGUGCCGAAUUAGUGGGAAGCAAAAAGAAAUGGAAAUGUAAUGGUUUUGGGUCCCACAAGGAAUUAUGUUGCCAUACUUUCACGUGGCUGUGGCUUUGCUUUAUGGUAUAGAUACAUAGAUAUUAUUUGUUUGAAGAAGAUAGGGAUAAGGAAAAGCUGUAAUGAUGUUGUCUGAUAGAGGAGUAUGGUGAACUUUGCUUGAUAUUUGUAUUUUGUUUCGGUGCAAAUUUGUCUAUAUAUUAAGGUGUGGUUGUUCACUAAGUAAGGAUACCGAGAGUUUGAGAACAGAGAAGGAAAUUAAGGAAAAGCACAGUGAACCGAGACAGUGAAGGCCAGAAUUUCGAUUUUGAUGCUCAAGUGUUGAUUAUUUCUAUUUACUGUGUAGGGUUCUUUAUACCUUGAAUUGCCUGGAUGAUUUUAUCUCAAAUAUUUUGUGACUGCUUUUUGUUAAAUUGCAAAUACAUAUUUUUGUUCAAAAGUAUAUUUAUAUUUUGUGAACUAAUUUUCAUGAAACCUCUUUGAGAUUCUUGUUAUGGUUUUUCCUACUCAAACUUCCCCCGUCUCACCCCUUCCAGUUUCAGGUACUGUGAAUUGCUAGUUGCGGGCUUAGGUGGAAGAGUUGGUGUUGAGGAUUUCAUUUAUUUAUUUAGAGAUUUUGUUGUAUUUAUUCGAGGAAUUGAUUUUCUAUCAAUAAAAUGUUAUUUCUUUUGA